Molecule: ribosomal RNA, 442 nt
Filed under: uncultured bacterium
Lineage: Bacteria
Description: partial 16S ribosomal RNA
Rfam family: Bacterial small subunit ribosomal RNA
Source: RNAcentral
CCUACGGGCGGCAGCAGUAGGGAAUCUUUCACAAUGGGCGAAAGCCUGAAGGAGCAACGCCGCGUGCAGGAUGAAGGCCUUCGGGUUGUAAACUGCUUUUAUAAGCGAGAAAUAUGAUGGUAACUAAUGAAUAAGGAUCGGCUAACUCCGUGCCAGCAGCCGCGGUAAUACGUAGGAUCCGAGCAUUAUCCGGAGUGACUGGGUGUAAAGAGUUGCGUAGGGCGAAUAAUAAGUAGCUAGUGAAAUCUUGUGGCUCAACACAUAAGACUAUUAGCUAAACUGUUAAGCUCGAGACCGUGAGAGGUAACUGGAAUUCCUAGUGUAGGAGUGAAAUCCGUAGAUAUUAGAAGGAACACUAAUAGCGUAGGCAGGUUACUGGGACGGUUCUGACACUAAGGCACGAAAGCGUAGGGAGCAAACGGGAUUAGAUACCCCUGUAGUC